UACGAAGGGGGCAAGCGUUGUUCGGAAUUACUGGGCGUAAAGGGCGCGCAGGCGGCUGAUCAAGUCAGAUGUGAAAGCCCCGGGCUCAACCUGGGAAUAGCAUUUGGGACUGGUCGGCUAGAGUUCGGGAGAGGAGAGUGGAAUUCCCAGUGUAGAGGUGAAAUUCGUAGAUAUUGGGAAGAACACCGGUGGCGAAGGCGGCUCUCUGGACCGAUACUGACGCUGAGGCGCGAAAGCGUGGGGAGCAAACAGG
This 253-nucleotide ribosomal RNA is filed under the name uncultured bacterium. Its description in RNAcentral is "partial 16S ribosomal RNA". It matches the Rfam family "Bacterial small subunit ribosomal RNA", at positions 524 to 776 of the family's 1533-position model. The record is from RNAcentral. RNAcentral also lists the same sequence under 1 other name.